GAACCAAGAAUCUUCAUUCUGGGGAACUCAAACAAUAGAAAUGCUGCCAUCGGACCCCUUAACCAGCUGAAGCAAGCAGUCCUUCAGUAAGGAAAAUCCGGCUUCCAUCUGCCAUAGUACCUUGUUUACCAUAUAUGGACUGCUUUGAAAACUAGCCAAUCAGCUUGUGCCAAGUUUGAAAUGUCCCUAACCUCUUAAAUUUUGCCCCAAACCCUGGCUGGGGGAGACAGAUUUGAGCCCUACCUCCUGUCUCCUUGCCGGUCGACCUCGCAAUAAAGCUUUUUCUUUUCUCAAAAGCUGGUGCCAUAGUAUUGGCUUCUGUGCGCGCCAGGCAGUGAGCCCUUGCUCGGUGAGAAUUUCUGGCGAUCGCAAACGAACUAAGCUCCUGCUGUGAUCGCCUGGCUGAGGCACUGUAGCCCCCGGCUGGGUGUAGGCCCUCGUCACCGACCCUGAGUGGCCACCUAGACCCGAUUUGUCUAGAGGCUCGGCUGUCGGGUUCCUGCUUCCCGCAGCAGCUGCGCUCCAGGCUCCUCCGCGCUACUUUCACUUUUGGGGAAAGAAACAGCUCCUGGAUCUUUUGGACAUUCCUGUGCACUGCAUAAGCCCAGGGAAUUGGGUCCUCCUCAAACCUGGAAAAAUGACUGCCCUGAGGAUCAACUGCAACCCAAGUGGAUUGGAGCCUAUGAAGUCCUUCUGGUUACACAUUCUUCAGUAGAGCUAAAAGGAGUUAAACCUUGGAUACACCCCUCCAGAGUAAAAAUAGUACCCACUUCUAACCAGCACCCCCCUUGUCCCCUUUACAGUUCCCAAACAGGGCACGCUCUCCAUGGACAGGAGGAAGUAGGAGGACCCAACCUUCCUAACACCAGAGGGGCCAGGAAACCCACUACUGAUUUCUCGGCCCCUAAUUACACUUAACUGAACUUAAGUUACUUUUCAAAUCGAAACAGGACAGCUAAGUCUCCACCUGGUCAGGAAGAGAAGACGAGGCCAUCUCGAAAGUAGACAGCUCCACCCAGAAGUCUGGACCAGGCUGAUAUAAAUCCAAAUUCAGUCACUAAGAAUGUUAAAAAUAACAUGUUUUCACUGGUUCCCAAAGAAUAAGGUCUGUUUUUGGAGGACUGUUAAAAUUAGGAAUCAUAGUUCUGUGUAUCAUGGGGUUAAUCUUUUUACUCACCAAAUUUUUUACUUAUUGUCUAUCUCAUAUAUUUAAAAAGGCCUCCCCCACUCACAUGUUGAUUGCCCAAGACUUAAGCUUUCAAAGUGGGACUCGUGAAUAUUUACAAUCAAGUGCAAAAACAAUUUCAUUCCUCUUAUAAAAAUCUAUGCCCCUUCUCAGCAGGAAGCAGCUAGAGCGGUCGUCACUCUAUUUCCCUUAAGAUUGAGGAAUGUACAAAGUAAAAGGGGGGCACUAAAACAGCACAUAAAACAUUGACCUGCUUAUCCUGGUUUUGUCUCCUUAAAUAGGUUGUUGACUAAUCAAACCUUGAGUUAUUUUACAGAGACAGCACCCCCAAUUGCAAGACAGGAACCCAUGUCUCCAGGAUGACCCCAGAACCAAGAAUCUUCAGUCUGCAGAACUCAAACAAUAGACAUGUUGCCACUGGAGCCCUUUACCAAGCAAGAAGUUCUUCAAUAAGAAAAAUCCAGCUUCCAGCUGCCCAAAUAGCUUGAUUCCAAUCAGCUUCUGACUGUCAACACUAACCAAUAAGCUUGUGAAAUUCUCCUAACUUACAUUUUGCCCUGAACACUGGACAGGGAGACGGAUUUGAGCCCUGCCUCCUGUCGGUUGACUCACAAUAAAAUGCUUUCUUUUCUCAAAA
Non-coding RNA from Delphinapterus leucas (beluga whale), 1823 nucleotides. The record is from RefSeq and is a predicted model, not a curated record. Lineage: Eukaryota; Metazoa; Chordata; Mammalia; Artiodactyla; Monodontidae.